Molecule: ribosomal RNA, 814 nt
Filed under: uncultured Leuconostoc sp.
Lineage: Bacteria; Bacillati; Bacillota; Bacilli; Lactobacillales; Lactobacillaceae
Description: bacterial SSU rRNA
Rfam family: Bacterial small subunit ribosomal RNA
Source: RNAcentral
CCUAAUACAUGCAAGUCGAACGCACAGCGAAAGGUGCUUGCACCUUUCAAGUGAGUGGCGAACGGGUGAGUAACACGUGGAUAACCUACCUCAAGGUUGGGGAUAACAUUUGGAAACAGAUGCUAAUACCGAAUAAAACUUAGUAUCGCAUGAUACCAGGUUAAGAGGCGCUACGGCGUCACCUAGAGAUGGAUCCGCGGUGCAUUAGUUAGUUGGUGGGGUAAAGGCUUACCAAGACAAUGAUGCAUAGCCGAGUUGAGAGACUGAUCGGCCACAUUGGGACUGAGACACGGCCCAAACUCCUACGGGAGGCUGCAGUAGGGAAUCUUCCACAAUGGGCGAAAGCCUGAUGGAGCAACGCCGCGUGUGUGAUGAAGGCUUUCGGGUCGUAAAGCGCUGUUGUAUGGGAAGAACAGCUAGAGUAGGGAAUGACUUUAGUUUGACGGUACCAUACCAGAAAGGGACGGCUAAAUACGUGCCAGCAGCCGCGGUAAUACGUAUGUCCCGAGCGUUAUCCGGAUUUAUUGGGCGUAAAGCGAGCGCAGACGGUUAAUUAAGUCUGAUGUGAAAGCCCGGAGCUCAACUCCGGAAAGGCAUUGGAAACUGGUUAACUUGAGUGCAGUAGAGGUAAGUGGAACUCCAUGUGUAGCGGUGGAAUGCGUAGAUAUAUGGAAGAACACCAGCGGCGAAGGCGGCUUACUGGACUGUAACUGACGUUGAGGCUCGAAAGUGUGGGUAGCAAACAGGAUUAGAUACCCUGGUAGUCCACACCGUAAACGAUGAACACUAGGUGUUAGGAGGUUUCCGCCUCUUA